This 440-nucleotide ribosomal RNA is filed under the name uncultured bacterium. RNAcentral describes it as "partial 16S ribosomal RNA". It matches the Rfam family "Bacterial small subunit ribosomal RNA", at positions 338 to 795 of the family's 1533-position model. The record is from RNAcentral.
CCUACGGGUGGCAGCAGUGGGGGAUAUUGCACAAUGGGGGAAACCCUGAUGCAGCGACGCCGCGUGUGGGAAGACGGUCUUCUGGAUUGUAAACCACUGUCCCCAGGGACGAAAAUGACGGUACCUGGGGAGGAAGCUCCGGCUAACUACGUGCCAGCAGCCGCGGUAAUACGUAGGGAGCAAGCGUUGUCCGGAAGUACUGGGUGAAAAGGGAGCGUAGGCGGGGAUGCAAGUUGGGUGUCAAAACUACCGGCUCAACCGAUAGUCGCACUCAAAACUGCAACUCUUGAGUGAAGUAGAGGCAGGCGGAAUUCCUAGUUUAGCGGUGAAAUGCGUAGAUAUUAGGAGGAACACCAGUGGCGAAGGCGGCCUGCUGGGCUUUUACUGACGCUGAGGCUCGAAAGUGUGGGGAGCAAACAGGAUUAGAUACCCCAGUAGUC